GAUGAACGCUGGCGGCGUGCCUAAUACAUGCAAGUCGAGCGAACAGACGAGGAGCUUGCUCCUCUGACGUUAGCGGCGGACGGGUGAGUAACACGUGGAUAACCUACCUAUAAGACUGGGAUAACUUCGGGAAACCGUAGCUAAUACCGGAUAAUAUAUUGAACCGCAUGGUUCAAUAGUGAAAGACGGUUUUGCUGUCACUUAUAGAUGGAUCCGCGCCGCAUUAGCUAGUUGGUAAGGUAACGGCUUACCAAGGCAACGAUGCGUAGCCGACCUGAGAGGGUGAUCGGCCACACUGGAACUGAGACACGGUCCAGACUCCUACGGGAGGCAGCAGUAGGGAAUCUUCCGCAAUGGGCGAAAGCUUGACGGAGCAACGCCGCGUGAGUGAUGAAGGUCUUCGGAUCGUAAAACUCUGUUGUUAGGGAAGAACAAAUGUGUAAGUAACUAUGCACGUCUUGACGGUACCUAAUCAGAAAGCCACGGCUAACUACGUG
This 497-nucleotide ribosomal RNA is filed under the name uncultured bacterium. RNAcentral's name for it is "partial 16S ribosomal RNA". It matches the Rfam family "Bacterial small subunit ribosomal RNA", at positions 28 to 507 of the family's 1533-position model. The record is from RNAcentral.